Lycium ferocissimum is the source of this 2245-nucleotide long non-coding RNA. RefSeq lists it as uncharacterized. The record is from RefSeq and is a predicted model, not a curated record. The transcript is spliced from 2 exons. NCBI's taxonomy places the organism in Eukaryota, Viridiplantae, Streptophyta, Magnoliopsida, Solanales, Solanaceae.
AAUUUUUUUUUUUUGGUUAUUCAAAUACAAACAUAUAUAAGAGCCACGUGAUGCGAUCUUGUAAUAGAUCAAACCAUGAUGCGGACCGUACUAUAGCCUUAAAGCUUCUGUGGAUUAACUUUGGUUCCUGAUGGCUCUAUUUUUCUUUUCGUUUUUUAGAAAAUAAAUUUGAUUAUUUUGAAUUUUUUGUCAUAUUUGAGGGAGAGAGGGAAUGAGUAGUCUUGAGCUAUUGGAAUAAGGAUGAAGUGGAAAGGGAUAAGGUUAUGAGAAGUUAUUGGAGUGGGAGGUGUUGUAAGAUAUAGUAAUAUUUAUUUUUCCAACUAAAUUGGAAGAAUAAAUAAAAUUAAUGUCUUACCAAUACCUCCCAUUCCUGUGGCUUCCUGUUACUUAUUCCUUUCCUGAUUUAUCAUCCGUUUGCAGAAAUUCACCAGAUUAUCUCUUCUGCUGGUUAUAAUUGCUCAUUCAAUUAUAUAUAGAGCGUGUACACGGAUACUGUGGGAGAAAGGUAAUAGAAUAUAUUUCCCUGUCAAGGUAAGAUCUUUUAAAAACCUGCUAAUGAGUUAGUUGAUGUAAAAUUUUUGUUGAACCCUGUUUCAUUGCCUGUAAUUCAAAUUUUAGGUAAAUUAUGUUCGAAUGGAGAAAACUGUGCGCAUAGGGAUUUAGAGCCUGUUUGGAUCGACUUAUUUCAGGUGUUUAAGCCACAAUAAUAAAAACAAGUCAAAAGCCAUAAAAAAAGGCUCGCACAAGAAGCAAUAUGUCAUAAUCCUAUUUGUGUGUACACUUUUCCUUGUAUGUCCAAAUAAGAAUAAGAAAUAUAACAGACAUCUUUUCAUGUUGUGAUUUUUGUUUUUAGUCACAUUACAAACACUGAUUAUAUUUACAUUCAACUUCCAAGAUAAAAGAAAGAAGACUAAUAAGUAGCAAACAAACAAACAUACUUUUCAGAUUCUAUUGUCCAGGCAUGCCUAUAGGGAAGAAGCUGUUAUAAAAAAGAGCACACCACUUAUACUCUACUUUGCUUAAGCUCUGCAAUUCUUUCAACUCUUUUGUAUCAGUUUCAUAGCAAUAGAGAUCACCUUUUAAGGAUCUAAUCAAGAUAUCUCCAGUACUCUCACUAUUUCUUGGUAAAUAACCAAUAAUAGUGAAGUUAUAAGCACUCUCAUGAACAUCAAUACUAUACUCUAAACACCAUGCUCCACUUUCAUUGUCCUUCAACAUCCAAAUAUUUAACAUGUGACAAUCUAUUUCAUUCUGAACUAAACAUAGAUGUCCAUUUAUUUCAGCCAAAUGUGAAAACCUAAAGUUAUAGCCAUAUGGACAACAAAUGGUCUUUGUUUCCUCAUUUGCCAAGUUAAUUUCAAGAAUUCUCACGUGAUCACUGCUAAAGGUAUUAUCUUUUGCAAAGGCUAGCCAAUAAAUGAACCCAUUGAUGUGGAUAGGUUGACGACAUGUUCCAGAAUAUUGUGUGCAACUCAACUUCAAGUCUCUCCAUGGCCCUAUUACACUUGAUUCUUCCUCUAGCUUAAGGGUUAGGAUAUUGAAAUACAAAAUCUUUUCAAAACCAGCAUAGAAUUCCCAGUCAUCAGGAUCUUCCACCAUCCUCUCAUAUGAUACCACAAUUUUGUACUCAUUUGUUGAAGAGACAUAGCCUAAACAAGCUCGACCAGCAAAAUGUGAAAGAAUGGGCAAAGCUAGUGUCUUUUUGGUAAUGGGAUUGCAAAUCCAAAUUUUUCCCACAUAGCCAGUUCGGUAAAAACUUAACAAGUCUAGCCCAGAACUGCACACAUUAUAGCCUGGUUCAAUUUCAGCUAUACUUCCAUGUUCAUGAACCAGCUCAUAAUUAGAGGAGUUUAUUGAAGAAAGAUGAAGGAGUUGGGACCUGAACAAAGUAUCACUUCUUGAAGAGCUGAUAAGAGAUAGAGUAGGCCUUUUCUUCGAUUGAUCGCGAUGUUGCAUCUUGAAAUGGAUACCGGAAAUUGUAUGAAGCCAUUCUUUUGAGAGACAUUUAAGCUGACAAAGUUGUUUGACACCCAGUCUUGAAAAUAUAUCGGUCAAGAGAUCUUGUGAAAGAUGAUCAGCCAUGCCUUCGUUCACUUGGUGCGGAAUUUUAAGAUUAAACCAGCAAUUGGAAAUUUAGAACGAUGAUUGUGUACCUCUUAAUAACAAUGGAAUUGUAUAAUUUUGUAGAGUGAUCACCGCCAAUUAAAAAUUGCCCCAAUCAAAGUUCUAUUCAUUAGGAAAUAAA